This is a transfer RNA of 92 nucleotides. It matches the Rfam family "tRNA". From Rfam's summary of the family: Transfer RNA (tRNA) molecules are approximately 80 nucleotides in length. Their secondary structure includes four short double-helical elements and three loops (D, anti-codon, and T loops). Further hydrogen bonds mediate the characteristic L-shaped molecular structure. tRNAs have two regions of fundamental functional importance: the anti-codon, which is responsible for specific mRNA codon recognition, and the 3' end, to which the tRNAs corresponding amino acid is attached (by aminoacyl-tRNA synthetases). tRNAs cope with the degeneracy of the genetic code in two manners: having more than one tRNA (with a specific anti-codon) for a particular amino acid; and 'wobble' base-pairing, i.e. permitting non-standard base-pairing at the 3rd anti-codon position.
GCACGCUUGGUUUAGUGGUAAAAUCAGCGCUUCCCAUGGCUCACUUACAGGCAUGCAUGCGCUGGCCCCGGGUUCGAUUCCCGGAGUGUGCA